UUUGGGGUGAAAGUGGCGCAAGGGUGAGUAACGCGUGGAUAAUCUACCUCUAAGUUGGGGAUAACCUUCCGAAAGGAGGGCUAACACCGAAUGUGGUCACUUCACAUAAGUGGGGAGGAUCAAAGAUGGGGAUCUUUCGGGACCUGUCGCUUGGAGAGGAGUCUGCGUGCCAUCAGCUAGUUGGUAGGGUAAUGGCCUACCAAGGCUUACGGCUAGCUGGUCUGAGAGGAUGACCAGCCACACUGGGACUGAGACACUGCCCAGACUCCUACGGGAGGCUGCAGUCGAGGAUCUUGGACAAUGGGGGAAACCCUGAUCCAGCGACGCUGCGUGGAGGAUGAAGGCCUUCGGGUUGUAAACUCCUGUCAUUCGGGAAAAACGACUUUGGGAUUAAUACUUCCAGAGAGUGAUGGUACCGAAAGAGGAAGCCACGGCUAACUCUGUGCCAGCAGCCGCGGUAAUACAGAGGUGGCAAGCGUUGUUCGGAUUUACUGGGCGUAAAGGGUGCGUAGGUGGUCGCUCGUGUCGGGUGUGAAAGCCCACGGCUUAACCGUGGAACGGCAUUCGAAACUGGGUGACUUGAGUACAGGAGGGGAGAGCGGAAUUCUUGGUGUAGCGGUGAAAUGCGUUGAUAUCAAGAAGAACACCGGUGGCGAAGGCGGCUCUCUGGAAUGUUACUGACACUGAGGCACGAAAGCUGGGGGAGCAAACAGGAUUAGAUACCCUGGUAGUCCCAGCUGUAAACGGUGUGCGCUUGGUGUGGGGAGAUUUGACCCUCCCCGUGCCGGAGCUAACGCGUUAAGCGCACCGCCUGGGGAGUACGGUCGCAAGACUAAAACUCAAAGAAAUUGACGGGGGCCCGCACAAGCGGUGGAGUAUGUGGCUUAAUUCGAUCCACGCGAAGAACCUUACCAGGGUUUGACAUGUAUUGUAACCUCGGUGAAAGCCGGGUAGCUGGGUUAAACCAGCGCUUUACACAGGUGCUGCAUGGCUGUCGUCAGCUCGUGUCGUGAGAUGUUGGGUUAAGUCCCGCAACGAGCGCAACCCCUGUGUCCUGUUGCCACUCCUUAAUUGGAAGCACUCUGGACAGACUGCCCUGUGAAACGGGGAGGAAGGUGGGGAUGACGUCAAGUCAGCAUGGCCCUUACACCCUGGGCUGCACACGUACUACAAUGCUCAGUACAAUAGGAGCCGAAACCGCGAGGUGGAGGAAAUCACUAAAACUGAGCCCAAUUCGGAUCGCAGGCUGCAACUCGCCUGCGUGAAGCCGGAAUCGCUAGUAAUGGCGCAUCAGCUACGGCGCCGUGAAUACGUUCCCGGGCCUUGUACACACCGCCCGUCACAUCAUGGGAGUCACUUGCACCCGAAGUGCACAAUUUGUGCCCUACGGUAUGAGUGGUAACUGGGAUGAAGUCGGAACAAGGUA
Molecule: ribosomal RNA, 1426 nt
Filed under: metagenome
Description: bacterial SSU rRNA
Rfam family: Bacterial small subunit ribosomal RNA
Source: RNAcentral